Long non-coding RNA from Cyprinodon tularosa, 251 nucleotides. RefSeq lists it as uncharacterized. The record is from RefSeq and is a predicted model, not a curated record. The transcript is spliced from 3 exons. Lineage: Eukaryota; Metazoa; Chordata; Actinopteri; Cyprinodontiformes; Cyprinodontidae.
CUACUACUACUGCUACUACUACAACUACUACUACUACUGCUACUACUACAACUACUGCUACUACUGCAACUGCUGUAGUAGCAGAACAGCAGACUCCAAGACCUGGCUUGAUUGCUGUAAUUUUAUCUGUCGUAAUGGUGGUGGCUGCUAUAAUUGUUGUAAUACUUUUUCGACGGAAACUCCUCAAGAGGGAAGGGUGUUGUGUUUCAGAGGAAGAAGCAGAGCACAAUGAAGAUGUUCAAAACACAGAG